AUGAAAAGUUAAUGCGCCACUUUGUAAACCUUUAUAGAUUUAGGGGAAGUACAACAAACUACCAACUUUUUGCUCACUGGUUCGUGAUAGUUAUAAUUUGAAUCAGCAAAAAUGUUGAGCUUUUUUAUAGAAUUAGCGUUAAUUAAGUAUUAAGUGUUAUAAUAUAAUAUACAGUCCGGGACAUUUCUAUUUGGACAUAAAAAAUUUGAAUUUUCUGACAUUUAUACGUAUAUUCAGCGUCUAUGUGAACAAAAAAUGUUCUCUCUCUCAUUCUAUGGUCCUUGAGCUUUAAUAACAGGAACAUUUUUUAAAUUGGUAGCAUUAGAAAAUGACAGUAAACAGCUGACUGAUGUAAACAAUAACACAAUAACAAAGGAAAUGUUAUAAUUUUAAUCUAUAUAACCAGUGGCUGCUUUAAAAGUGUGUACUAACGGGAUAAUAAAAUAUUUACGCAAGUAUUUUUGAAGGUAGAAACAUUACUUGUCAUAUAACAAUUAUAGAUUAUAUGAUGAAAGGGGAAUGGCACAACACAGAAUUGCAGUCAGUGAUUGUGCUGGAGAAGGCUGCUGUGACGUACUGACAGUACUGACUGUUGCUGGUUGUAUGAUUUGCGCAAUUUGUGAUAUAUUUUGUGUGAAAAACUGGAAAACAAAGUGCAUACCUGCAUAACCUCACUUAUCGCAGUUUUGCACAUUUUGAUGAUGGGAAUUGCGGUUCAAGUAAUUAUGAGUUAUAGAUGGAGCUCACUGUUUACUUCAAACUGAAGCCUUUUGGGUCCACUUUUUUCGUUGUUAUUUCCUGGUAGCGACUCUUGUUUCAAGCAGAAUGGGUGUAAAGUUAAAAAUAAUCCCAUAAAAUUGUUAAUAUAACUCCGUUGCACUGGCAUGGGGUAUUUGAAAACUUACGUUUAACAAAUACGUCACAAAGUCUCAGCCAUCGUCGAAAAACAUAAUAAGGGCUUUAUAACAAGAAGCGCUUUCUGAUUUUACUGUGGACGUGUGGAAGAAUAGUGUGAAAUAUUGCGAAAAACCAACUUUUCCUCUUGUUUACAUUUUUGUACGUCUCUAUCUGAGAGUAGUCGUCUUGUAUAAAAAAUAUAGCCUACUAAUAAAGGAAAUUAAAGUGUU
Tribolium castaneum (red flour beetle) is the source of this 1127-nucleotide long non-coding RNA. RefSeq lists it as uncharacterized. The transcript is spliced from 2 exons. The record is from RefSeq and is a predicted model, not a curated record. NCBI's taxonomy places the organism in Eukaryota, Metazoa, Arthropoda, Insecta, Coleoptera, Tenebrionidae.